GAUGAACGCUGGCGGCGUGCCUAAUACAUGCAAGUCGAGCGAACGGACGAGAAGCUUGCUUCUCUGAUGUUAGCGGCGGACGGGUGAGUAACACGUGGAUAACCUACCUAUAAGACUGGGAUAACUUCGGGAAACCGGAGCUAAUACCGGAUAAUAUUAUGAACCGCAUGGUUCAAAAGUGAAAGACGGUCUUGCUGUCACUUAUAGAUGGAUCCGCGCUGCAUUAGCUAGUUGGUAAGGUAACGGCUUACCAAGGCAACGAUGCAUAGCCGACCUGAGAGGGUGAUCGGCCACACUGGAACUGAGACACGGUCCAGACUCCUACGGGAGGCAGCAGUAGGGAAUCUUCCGCAAUGGGCGAAAGCCUGACGGAGCAGCGCUGCGUGAGUGAUGAAGGUCUUCGGAUCGUAAAACUCUGUUAUUAGGGAAGAACAUAUGUGUAAGUAACUGCGCACAUCUUGACGGUACCUAAUCAGAAAGCCACGGCUAACUACGUG
RNAcentral lists this ribosomal RNA (497 nucleotides) under uncultured bacterium. RNAcentral's name for it is "partial 16S ribosomal RNA". It matches the Rfam family "Bacterial small subunit ribosomal RNA", at positions 28 to 507 of the family's 1533-position model. The record is from RNAcentral.